AGUAACUGCGAGUGAAGCGGGAANAGCUCAAAUUUGAAUCUGGCAGUCCUUGGCUGUCCGAGUUGUAAUUUAGAGAAGUGCUNCCCGCGCUGGACCCGUAUACAAGUCCUCUGGAAUGGGGCGUCAUAGAGGGUGAGAAUCCCGUCUUUGAUACGGACUACCAGUGCUNUGCGGUGCGCUCUCNAAGAGUCGAGUUGUUUGGGAAUGCAGCUCAAAAUGGGUGGUAAAUUCCAUCUAAAGCUAAAUACAGGCGAGAGACCGAUAGCGAACAAGUACCGUGAGGGAAAGAUGAAAAGAACUUUGGAAAGAGAGUUAAACAGUACGUGAAAUUGCUGAAAGGGAAACGCUUGAAGUCAGUCGCGUCGUUCAAGAAUCAGCCCGCUUUUGCUUGGUGUACUUCUUGUUCGACGGGUCAGCAUCAGUUUCGACCAUUGGAUAAGGACUUGGGAAAUGUGNCAUCUUCGGAUGUGUUAUAGUCCCCCGUCCCAUACAGUGGUUGGGACUGAGGAACUCAGCGCGCCGCAAGGACAGGUCUCUGACCUAC
RNAcentral lists this ribosomal RNA (544 nucleotides) under uncultured Agaricales. RNAcentral's name for it is "eukaryotic LSU rRNA". It matches the Rfam family "Eukaryotic large subunit ribosomal RNA", at positions 82 to 634 of the family's 3401-position model. The record is from RNAcentral. Lineage: Eukaryota; Fungi; Basidiomycota; Agaricomycetes; Agaricales.